GCCUCCUUAGUGCAGUAGGCAGCGCAUCAGUCUCAUAAUCUGAAGGUUCUGAGUUCAAACCUCAGAGGGGGCA
RNAcentral lists this transfer RNA (73 nucleotides) under Ovis aries (sheep). Its description in RNAcentral is "tRNA-Met (CAT) (tRNA-Met-CAT-9-1)". It matches the Rfam family "tRNA". From Rfam's summary of the family: Transfer RNA (tRNA) molecules are approximately 80 nucleotides in length. Their secondary structure includes four short double-helical elements and three loops (D, anti-codon, and T loops). Lineage: Eukaryota; Metazoa; Chordata; Mammalia; Artiodactyla; Bovidae. The record is from Rfam by way of RNAcentral.